GAGCAAACAGGAUUAGAUACCCUGGUAGUCCACGCCCUAAACGAUGUCUACUAGUUGUUGGGUCUUAAUUGACUUAGUAACGCAGCUAACGCGUGAAGUAGACCGCCUGGGGAGUACGGUCGCAAGAUUAAGACUCAAAGGAAUUGACGGGGACCCGCACAAGCGGUGGAUGAUGUGGAUUAAUUCGAUGCAACGCGAAAAACCUUACCUACCCUUGACAUGGCAGGAAUCCUGGAGAGAUCUGGGAGUGCUCGAAAGAGAACCUGCACACAGGUGCUGCAUGGCUGUCGUCAGCUCGUGUCGUGAGAUGUUGGGUUAAGUCCCGCAACGAGCGCAACCCUUGUCAUUAGUUGCUACGCAAGAGCACUCUAAUGAGACUGCCGGUGACAAACCGGAGGAAGGUGGGGAUGACGUCAAGUCCUCAUGGCCCUUAUGGGUAGGGCUUCACACGUCAUACAAUGGUACAUACAGAGGGCCGCCAACCCGCGAGGGGGAGCUAAUCCCAGAAAGUGUAUCGUAGUCCGGAUUGUAGUCUGCAACUCGACUACAUGAAGUUGGAAUCGCUAGUAAUCGCGGAUCAGCAUGUCGCGGUGAAUACGUNCCCGGGUCUUGUACACACCGCCCGUCACGCCAUGGGAGCGGGUCUUACCAGAAGUAGGUAGCUUAACCGCAAGGAGGGCGCUUACCACGGUAGGAUUCGUGACUGGGGUGAAGUCGUAACAAGGUAACCA
RNAcentral lists this ribosomal RNA (731 nucleotides) under bacterium enrichment culture clone ADE_6. RNAcentral's name for it is "bacterial SSU rRNA". It matches the Rfam family "Bacterial small subunit ribosomal RNA", at positions 766 to 1502 of the family's 1533-position model. The record is from RNAcentral.